RNAcentral lists this long non-coding RNA (1276 nucleotides) under Gadus morhua (Atlantic cod). RNAcentral's name for it is "lncRNA (ENSGMOG00000036569.1)". The record is from RNAcentral. Lineage: Eukaryota; Metazoa; Chordata; Actinopteri; Gadiformes; Gadidae.
ACCAGGACUCUGGCUGAGGAGAGCUGAUGGAGGAGCCAAGACUCUGGAGGACGACAUCACUCCACCAACUAGGAUCCUCGUAAGUUUGCCUAAAAUAAACCGAGUGGACUUGUUGUAACGCAGGAUUAGUUUGUCCAGUACAAGUUACAAGCAUACUAUUGUGGUUGUUUACCAGACAAACUACAGCUGCUACUUUGUUACGCACCAUUAGAGCCCAACUACUCCUGUGUUUGUGACCUUACAUUAGAGACAAACUACUACUGUGUUUGUUACCUGAUAUUAGAGCAAACUACUCCUGUGUUUGUUACCUGAUAUUAGAGCAAACUACUCCUGUGUUUGUGACCUUGCAUUAGAGCCCAACUACUCCUGUGUUUUUUACCUUACAUUCGAGACAAACUACUACUGUGUUUGUUACUUUACAUUAGAGCCCAACUACUACUGUGUUUGUUACCUGAUAUUAGAGCCCAACUACUACUGUGUUUGUUACCUUACAUUAUAAACAAACUACUACUGUUUGUUACCUUACAUUAGAGCCCAACUACUACUGUGUUUGUUACCUUACAUUAUAAACAAACUACUACUGUUUGUUACCUUACAUUAGAGCCCAACUACUCCUGUGUUUGUUACCUUACAUUAGAGCCCAACUACUCCUGUGUUUGUUACCUUGCAUUAGAGCCCAACUACUCCUGUGUUUGUUACCUUACAUUAGAGACAAACUACUACUGUGUUUGUUACCUUACAUUAGAGACCAAUUACGUUUGCAACCAGACCAGGAAUCUGGAGGACUGAUGGAGGAGCCAAGACUCUGGAGGACGACAUCACUCCACCAACUAGGAUCCUCGUAAGUUUGCCUAAAAUAAACCGAGUGGACUUGUUGUAACGCAGGAUUAGUUUGUCCAGUACAAGUUACAAGCAUACUAUUGUGGUUGUUUACCAGACAAACUACAGCUGCUACUUUGUUACGCACCAUUAGAGCCCAACUACUCCUGUGUUUGUGACCUUACAUUAGAGACAAACUACUACUGUGUUUGUUACCUGAUAUUAGAGCAAACUACUCCUGUGUUUGUGACCUUGCAUUAGAGCCCAACUACUCCUGUGUUUUUUACCUUACAUUCGAGACAAACUACUACUGUGUUUGUUACUUUACAUUAGAGCCCAACUACUACUGUGUUUGUUACCUGAUAUUAGAGCCCAACUACUACUGUGUUUGUUACCUUACAUUAUAAACAAACUACUACUGUUUGUUACCUUACAUUAGAGCCCAACUACUACUGUG